GCGAAUUUGAACAACAUUAUUGUAGCCCAUUGUAAGUUUUAGUUCACUCCCCUAAUUAUUAAUAAAAAUAAUAUCGUUUGUUAAAAUAAAAAAGGGGGUAGUUUGGCAAUUAUGAAAACUUUCUGAGGCUAGGUCAAACAUGGGGUGUCACAUUCUCUCUUUCUGUGAUAGACCUUCUCUCCUUUUGUGAGAGCUUCUUCCCCCAGUCUUGGUGAGGGUCUUCAUCUUGCCCACCUUCUCUAGUGCCGACUCUAGCUUCGGCUGGAGUCGGUCGCCCCUUCUCCCUUCCUCCUCCUGUUUUCUCCUCCUUUUCCCUUCUCUACCAGUUCCUUUCUCUUCUUCUUCUUCUUUCCGAUCUGGCCAACACCACCACCUUCUCACUGUCUCUUCUUUUCUAGCAAUGUUGUUUGUGGGUUGUCACGAACUUCAUCCUAAUAGUUGGCUUCUUCCAACCUCUUGCUGGCUAUCCUUUCUUUGUGGUUGUGCUCGGGACGUUCAUCGAGGUGAGAUGCUGCAAUUACUCUGGCGAUGCUUGGCUGUGGAUGAGGACUUGAUCGAUUCGCGAUCGGCGGCAACUAGUGUAGAACUUUCUUGUGUUUGUGGUCUUUUGUGCGUUUUGGGCUUCAACUUCUGGUUGGCCCUUUGUAGUUUAUUUUUUGGCCUUGUGGUUUGCUUGUUUAUGUGUGUUGUUUGGGUCUUGGGUUUGCUUAUGUAUAUGUUUUAGUUUGUAACAAAAGUGAAGAAGCAUUUUUUCAAAAAAAAAAAAAAAAAAAAAAAAAAAAAAACUGGGUGUCAAUUUCAACGGCUUCUGCCUUUUGGCAACAAUGGCAGGCAGGCGUGCAGCGCAGGACAUGACACUGGGCAGCCUUGGGAUUGGGAAGCUGGGCAGGAUCUAUGGCUCGAUAAACGACGUACGCGAUUGGAUGAGACGUGUUAAGAAAACGCCCAGAAUCUGUGUCGUUCAGGGUAGAGUGAUACGUACGUAGGGGUCGUAUUAUAUGAUUUAAUUGUUUUUUUAUUUUUUUUGGUAAUUUUUCUGACAACAGAUAUGGGAAAACCAAAUGCGUAAUCAUUGUACUUGUAGUUGUAGGUCAUGUCCUAAACCUUUCCAUAUUUCUGUUUCGACCCACUUUGUUUUUUUCAUGUCAUGUCCUAAACGAAAAUUAAAUUUUCAUGUA
Long non-coding RNA from Pyrus x bretschneideri (Chinese white pear), 1178 nucleotides. RefSeq lists it as uncharacterized. The record is from RefSeq and is a predicted model, not a curated record. Lineage: Eukaryota; Viridiplantae; Streptophyta; Magnoliopsida; Rosales; Rosaceae. The transcript is spliced from 2 exons.